This 263-nucleotide ribosomal RNA is filed under the name uncultured bacterium. RNAcentral describes it as "partial 16S ribosomal RNA". It matches the Rfam family "Bacterial small subunit ribosomal RNA", at positions 793 to 1055 of the family's 1533-position model. The record is from RNAcentral.
GUCCACGCCGUAAACGAUGUCUACUAGCCGUUGGGUUCCUUGAGGACUUAGUGGCGCAGCUAACGCAAUAAGUAGACCGCCUGGGGAGUACGGUCGCAAGAUUAAAACUCAAAUGAAUUGACGGGGGCCCGCACAAGCGGUGGAGCAUGUGGUUUAAUUCGACGCAACGCGAAGAACCUUACCAGGUCUUGACAUCCAGAGAACUUUCCAGAGAUGGAUUGGUGCCUUCGGGAGCUCUGAGACAGGUGCUGCAUGGCUGUCGU